Pelmatolapia mariae (spotted tilapia) is the source of this 1047-nucleotide long non-coding RNA. RefSeq lists it as uncharacterized. The transcript has 8 exons. Lineage: Eukaryota; Metazoa; Chordata; Actinopteri; Cichliformes; Cichlidae. The record is from RefSeq and is a predicted model, not a curated record.
UUGUUCGUCCUUUUGGUCUCUUCUCGUCGGGUGUGGUUCAUUGUCGCUAGUUUCGCUGAAGUUGCGAAGUGCAUUGAUACUUAAGAAGGCUACUGUGCUUUUAGAUGAAAGGCCCCGCGUUAAAGGUGGAUCUAGGGCUUUUGGGUCACAGUAUGGGUUUAAAAAUCGUGCUGUUCAAGUCCUGUGGUCUCGUUUCCUCGGAAGGCUACUCAGAAGAUGCGAGAUCAAGAGGAUGACAAACCAGGAUCAAAGGUAAAGGAAAAGAACUUGAGCAUCCAUGAAGGAUGUUUGUCUGCAUGGUGUGUGCACUCCCAGCUGAACUAGUGGACAGAUGUGGAUUUGUUACACACAGAUGUCUCAAAGUGAGCUGGUUGAGAUUCAUCUGAAGACAUGCUGAGCCGUUCCUCGUCUGUCUAAUGAUGUCUUAGUUCACUGUCCAGUGAAUUUAUCAGAACUGGAUUCAGUGGCUGCAGAGACUCUUCUUCAGUAUACAUGGAUCCAGAGCUCGGUGAAAAGAGGACUUGGAAUGGAUCUUUAUGUGAAGAUGGAUUUAACAUUAUUUAACAUUUAAUGCUUGAUGUUUAAGAACUGAUGCUGCUGUAAUUUGAAUAAACUGUUGACAGGAAACCAGUGUAACCAGUGUUCUCAUCAUUGUGUUAAACGAUAGGCUUGAAUUUGGAUUUAUUUUUAUUAAUUGUAUAGCACCUUUCAGAACUCAAGUCCUUCAACAAAAAAUGGCAAUUUUGUUUUCUUAGGUGUAAAGUCACUGACUUUUCAGAACAUGUUUCAACAAUCAGAAUUGGUAGCUCUGUUCCUGGCUCUUCAUCGGAGUCUAAUGAGCAAGAUGAUCAACUCCAAGUCAGCCCUGGCAAUAAAGUUGAACACCUGCUGGACCUUAAAUAUCAUUGCAGGCAACUUACUUGAGACUCACAACAGACACUGAUUCAAUGACCUAGUCAUACUUGUAUACACUGUAAGGUAUUGUACUUUCUAUGGAAUCAUUUAAUAUCUUUUACAUUUCAAAUAUUGUAGACAUCUUUAAAAUAU